AGUGAACGCUGGCGGCAGGCCUAAUACAUGCAAGUCGAACGGCAGCACAGCAGAGCUUGCUCUGUGGGUGGCGAGUGGCGGACGGGUGAGGAAUACAUGGGAAUCUGCCCAGUCGUGGGGAUAACGUAUGGAACGUACGCUAAUACCGCAUGCGCCCUAAGGGGAAAGGCCGGGACCGCAAGGCCUGGCGCGAUUGGAUGAGCCCAUGUUCGAUUAGCUAGUUGGCGGGGUAAAGGCCCACCAAGGCGACGAUCGAUAGCUGGUCUGAGAGGAUGAUCAGCCACACUGGAACUGAGACACGGUCCAGACUCCUACGGGAGGCAGCAGUAGGGAAUAUUGGACAAUGGGGCGAACCCUGAUCCAGCCAUGCCGCGUGAGUGAAG
Molecule: ribosomal RNA, 383 nt
Filed under: uncultured bacterium
Lineage: Bacteria
Description: bacterial SSU rRNA
Rfam family: Bacterial small subunit ribosomal RNA
Source: RNAcentral